ACGGGUGCGUAACACGUGAGUAAUCUACCGAAAAGUGGGGGAUAGCUUGCCGAAAGGCAAAUUAAUACCGCAUAUGGCCAUUCUCUAAUUGGAGAAGACGCUAAAGCAGCAAUGCGCUUUUUGAUGAACUCGCGGCCUACCAGCUAGAUGGCGGGGUAACGGCCCACCAUGGCUAUGACGGGUAGCUGGUCUGAGAGGACGACCAGCCACACUGGAACUGAGACACGGUCCAGACACCUACGGGUGGCAGCAGUCGAGAAUUUUUCACAAUGGGGGAAACCCUGAUGGAGCGACGCCGCGUGGAGGAUGAAGGCCCUCGGGUCGUAAACUCCUGUCAUGCGGGAACAAGAAAGUGAUAGUACCGCAAGAGGAAGAGACGGCUAACUCUGUGCCAGCAGCCGCGGUAAUACAGAGGUCUCAAGCGUUGUUCGGAUUCAUUGGGCGUAAAGGGUGCGUAGGUGGCGAUGUAAGUCUGGUGUGAAAUCUCGGGGCUCAACCCCGAAAUUGCAUCGGAUACUGCGUUGCUUGAGGAUUGUAGAGGAGAGUGGAAUUCAUGGU
RNAcentral lists this ribosomal RNA (558 nucleotides) under uncultured bacterium. RNAcentral describes it as "bacterial SSU rRNA". It matches the Rfam family "Bacterial small subunit ribosomal RNA", at positions 102 to 674 of the family's 1533-position model. The record is from RNAcentral.